AACGCUGAAGAGAGGAGCUUGCUCUUCUUGGAUGAGUUGCGAACGGGUGAGUAACGCGUAGGUAACCUGCCUUGUAGCGGGGGAUAACUAUUGGAAACGAUAGCUAAUACCGCAUAACAAUGGAUGACACAUGUCAUUUAUUUGAAAGGGGCAAUUGCUCCACUACAAGAUGGACCUGCGUUGUAUUAGCUAGUAGGUGAGGUAACGGCUCACCUAGGCGACGAUACAUAGCCGACCUGAGAGGGUGAUCGGCCACACUGGGACUGAGACACGGCCCAGACUCCUACGGGAGGCAGCAGUAGGGAAUCUUCGGCAAUGGGGGCAACCCUGACCGAGCAACGCCGCGUGAGUUAAGAAGGUUUUCGGAUCGUAAAGCUCUGUUGUAAGUCAAGAACGAGUGUUAGAGUGGAAAGUUCACACUGUGACGGUAGCUUACCAGAAAGGGACGGCUAACUACGUGCCAGCAGCCGCGGUAAUACGUAGGUCCCGAGCGUUGUCCGGAUUUAUUGGGCGUAAAGCGAGCGCAGGCGGUUUGAUAAGUCUGAAGUUAAAGGCUGUGGCUCAACCAUAGUUCGCUUUGGAAACUGUCAAACUUGAGUGCAGAAGGGGAGAGUGGAAUUCCAUGUGUAGCGGUGAAAUGCGUAGAUAUAUGGAGGAACACCGGUGGCGAAAGCGGCUCUCUGGUCUGUAACUGACGCUGAGGCUCGAAAGCGUGGGGAGCGAACAGGAUUAGAUACCCUGGUAGUCCACGCCGUAAACGAUGAGUGCUAGGUGUUGGAUCCUUUCCGGGAUUCAGUGCCGCAGUAACGC
This 810-nucleotide ribosomal RNA is filed under the name uncultured Streptococcus sp. RNAcentral describes it as "bacterial SSU rRNA". It matches the Rfam family "Bacterial small subunit ribosomal RNA", at positions 65 to 858 of the family's 1533-position model. Lineage: Bacteria; Bacillati; Bacillota; Bacilli; Lactobacillales; Streptococcaceae. The record is from RNAcentral.